RNAcentral lists this ribosomal RNA (599 nucleotides) under uncultured bacterium. RNAcentral's name for it is "bacterial SSU rRNA". It matches the Rfam family "Bacterial small subunit ribosomal RNA", at positions 147 to 755 of the family's 1533-position model. The record is from RNAcentral.
CCGAGGGAAACCUCGGGUAAUUCCCAGCGACGUCUCGGAGUGGCAUCACUCUGAGACCAAAGAUUCAUCGCCGUGGGACGGGCCGUCGUGGUAUUAGCUGGUUGGUGGGGUGACGGCCCACCAAGGCUGCGAUGCCUACCGGGCGUGCGAGCGUGGCCCGGCACACUGGGACUGAGACACUGCCCAGACUCCUACGGGAGGCUGCAGUCGAGAAUCUUCGGCAAUGGGCGCAAGCCUGACCGAGCGACGCCGCGUGGAGGACGAAGGCCUUCGGGUUGUAAACUCCUGUCGAGGGGGAGGAAGGCGAAAGCUUGACCGAUCCCUGGAGGAAGGACGGGCUAAGUUCGUGCCAGCAGCCGCGGUAAGACGAACCGUCCGAACGUUAUUCGGAAUUACUGGGCUUAAAGCGCGUGUAGGCGGCUGGGCACGUCCGACGCUGAAAGCCCCCGGCUCAACCGGGGAAGUGGCGCGGAUACGGCUCGGCUGGAGGGGGGUAGGGGGGGCCUGGAACUUCGGGUGGAGCGGUGAAAUGCGUUGAGAUCCGAAGGAACGCCCGUGGCGAAAGCGAGGCCCUGGACCCUUUCUGACGCUGAGACGCG